This is a long non-coding RNA of Papaver somniferum (opium poppy), 1069 nucleotides long. RefSeq lists it as uncharacterized. The record is from RefSeq and is a predicted model, not a curated record. The transcript is spliced from 2 exons. Lineage: Eukaryota; Viridiplantae; Streptophyta; Magnoliopsida; Ranunculales; Papaveraceae.
AAACUUGAGUAUCCAAUGACGUUUAUGUAAGCCUAUAAAUAGGCAUUUCAUGUAUCAUUUGUAAGCAAGCGAGAAGAUUAAAUUCAAUAGAAGAGAAAAUUCGAAGUUACAAAUCCUUGCUUCCACCUUCACUACUAGAGUUCCAGGAGCUCUAUACGAGAAACACCACUAUGUUCGUAUAUCUCCGUAAAUAUUAUUCAACGUUAAAAUUAUUUCAAUUUCUAACAUGGUAUCAGAGCGGGUUCGAUCCAAAUGGGCGCUAAAGUUUCCGCUACAAGUUGAAGGUGAUAAUUCUGCACAAUAGAAGACGCAAGGAGAUGCACCAAAGAGUGCACUUCUAAAGAAAAUUUGAGGGAAGAGCAUCAAAGAAAUGCCUCCUCAAAUAACAGAGAUGGCAAAAAUGAGAGUCAUCCUGUAAAAAUAUUCUACUCAUAAAGUUGAGUGGGCGGAACCUCUGAACCUACGAUGGUCAAGUUUCGUGAAAGGCGAGGAACAUCAACAGAAGGAAAAAGCCUCUGAAUUUAAGACUGUCAAGUUCGGUCUAAACCGUGAAGGAGAAGGAGAUAAUUGGCACAAGACAGAGGCUCUGAAUCUACAAGGAACAUACUGCGAAAAUGCCAGGUCAACAAAGAAGAUCUAAAACAAGAUAUGGAGACACUACGAAGGCGAGCUGGUUUCAAUGUGACUACAAGUCCGAAAUGAAUACACUACGAGCAAGAGAAGCCAAGAGCUAUCAAGAGAUUGGGUGAAGAACAAAUUGGACGCUAAGCCAAUUACAAAUUAAGAGGGGGUGUUGGAACAUGUAAUUUGUAAUAGUCAACAAUGAUCUAGAUAAUUAUAAAGAAGUGUAGAAAAAAAGUACUCUAGAACAUACUAGAGUUAGAGUUUCCAAAAAUCAGUUAAGACUUGGCUAGAAUUUGCUAGGACAAGUAAGGUCAAAUGAAUGUUCUAGAUAAGAAAAACCUAGAGAGAACUAGAGAACAUACGGUUGUACAAGAAAGUGUACUUAGAGAUAUGUUGUAAAGAACAUUCUAGAUAAGAAAAGUCUAGAUUAAACUUGAGUAUCCAA